Long non-coding RNA from Rosa rugosa (rugosa rose), 1058 nucleotides. RefSeq lists it as uncharacterized. The record is from RefSeq and is a predicted model, not a curated record. The transcript has 2 exons. NCBI's taxonomy places the organism in Eukaryota, Viridiplantae, Streptophyta, Magnoliopsida, Rosales, Rosaceae.
CAAAGAAAUGCAGGAGUUUUGUAUUCCAAAUAUUGCUUUUAACUAUAUGUUAUUUUUAAUAUAAAAAUAAUAUACGUUAACAGUGUUAAGUUUCUGUUAGUGAAGAAACACGUGUCAAAAUGUUAGUGGGGGGACAGAGUUGGGAUAGAAGAUUUGGGGACAGCUGAUUUCCUUCUGAAAUAUGAUUCAUAUGUGUGUUGAUUAAUUAUUAGAGAAUGAAUGGUGUAAUUAUUAAAAUACAUACUAAAAAUAAAAACCUCCUCACUUUAAGAGUUCAAGGACGUCCUCUCGAUCCUCCCUAUAUAUAUAUAUAUCAGUGUUCUAAAACUCGGCCGCCCAGGCCGUCUAGGCGCUGGGCGGCAGCUCUCCGAGUCGACUAAUGCCAAAUCGGCUCUGUUGGGCGGAUGUGGGUUUGACGGCCGCCUAGGCGGGCGACUGGGCGCCUGGGCGGGGGUAGUUGGGCACCCAGCGGCCUUUCUAGGCGGAUAUGCAGGUUGACGGCUCACGGAGGCGGAUAUAAAGGUUGUUUCAUGGAGGUUGACGACUUGCAGAGAGAGAAUGGAGGAGUCGACUCUGAUCAUGGAGGUUGUUUCAUGGAGGUCUACUGGACUUCGUUAUGGUUUCCGGUUCUUCAGCGUGGUUAUUGAUUGAAUAAUGAAAAAACUGAUGAAGAGAGAAGGUGGAGAUGGCGACUACUGGUAUCACAAAGGAGAGAGAGAGAGACCCGUGAAAAUGGAUGGGGUGGUUAAUUGUGGAGAGUAUAAUUGAUGACUUGGAGAGAGAAGAGGGAUAGGAUGGGCACGUGUGUAGGGCUGCAACAAGAAGCAUAAUUGCUGCUACUUUUGUCUGUUGGAUAAUUGAAUACAACUUCAGGUUUUUGUUUUUCAUGUAAACAGUGGCUUUUUGAAGAUUAACACCAAGGGUCAUGAUCAUUAAGACCAAGCUUCAGUUAAACAUGGAGAUACCUCUCCCAAACACUCCCACAACACAUGAACACUUCCUUAAAUAGCUCUCUGCUACCUCUAUUUAAUUAAAUAAAUAGUUAAUUAAAUAAAUAU